AACGAACGCUGGCGGCAGGCCUAACACAUGCAAGUCGAGCGGACCCUUCGGGGUUAGCGGCGGACGGGUGAGUAACGCGUGGGAAUAUGCCCUUCUCUACGGAAUAGUUCUGGGAAACUGGGGGUAAUACCGUAUACGCCCUUUGGGGGAAAGAUUUAUCGGGGAUGGAUGAGCCCUCGUUGGAUUAGGUAGUUGGUGGGGUAAUGGCCUACCAAGCCGACGAUCCCUAGCUGGGUUGAGAGACAGAUCAGCCACACUGGGACUGAGAAACGGCCCAGAAUCCUACGGGAGGCAGGAGUGGGGGAUCGUAGAAAAUGGGGGCAAUCCUGAUCUAGCCAUGCCGCGUGAGUGCUGAAGGCAUUAGGGUUGUAAAGCUCUUUCAGCUGGGAAGAUAAUGACGGUACCAGCAGAAGAAGCCCCGGCUAACUCCGUG
This 433-nucleotide ribosomal RNA is filed under the name uncultured bacterium. RNAcentral describes it as "partial 16S ribosomal RNA". It matches the Rfam family "Bacterial small subunit ribosomal RNA", at positions 29 to 507 of the family's 1533-position model. The record is from RNAcentral.